Molecule: small RNA, 157 nt
Filed under: Blautia sp. CAG:257
Lineage: Bacteria; Bacillati; Bacillota; Clostridia; Lachnospirales; Lachnospiraceae
Description: Clostridiales-1 RNA
Rfam family: Clostridiales-1 RNA
Source: Rfam by way of RNAcentral
AUAAAGUUCCGGACAGCGGGCACAGUUUACGCAUGCCUGCAUGCAGGAGACUGUGCACAUUGGACGGGCUGACAGGAAUGAGCAGGCAGGACAAAAGCCCGGAUUGCGAAUUGCUGACGAUUACGGGAGUGCAUAAGCGCAGAGUAAUCGACUUUAU